UAGCAAUACGGGAGUGGCAGACGGGUGAGUAACGCGUGGGAACAUACCCUCCGGUUCGGAAUAACUCAGGGAAACUUGAGCUAAUACCGGAUACGGCUUAGCGGCGAAAGAUUCAUCGCCGGAGGAUUGGCCCGCGUUCGAUUAGCUUGUUGGUGAGGUAACGGCUCACCAAGGCGACGAUCGAUAGCUGGUCUGAGAGGAUGAUCAGCCACAUUGGGACUGAGACACGGCCCAAACUCCUACGGGAGGCAGCAGUGGGGAAUAUUGGACAAUGGGCGCAAGCCUGAUCCAGCCAUGCCGCGUGAGUGAUGACGGCCUUCGGG
This 323-nucleotide ribosomal RNA is filed under the name uncultured bacterium. RNAcentral's name for it is "bacterial SSU rRNA". It matches the Rfam family "Bacterial small subunit ribosomal RNA", at positions 82 to 422 of the family's 1533-position model. The record is from RNAcentral.